This 357-nucleotide ribosomal RNA is filed under the name Triticum aestivum (bread wheat). Its description in RNAcentral is "partial small subunit ribosomal RNA". Lineage: Eukaryota; Viridiplantae; Streptophyta; Magnoliopsida; Poales; Poaceae. The record is from RNAcentral.
AUGGAGCUGGCUGUCAUGGGACGCCGUUCAGGUGCAGAGUUCGGGCUGGAGCUCAACGCCCACCGGCCCACAUGGCAAGUUUCGCUGGUCCUCACGAAUUUCCACUAUGGAUGCAUAAUCCACCUCCUUGGUCGAGCUGGGAAGCUAAUAAAAGCACUGGAGAGAAUAUCUGUAAUGCACAUGAGAUUAGACCCAACUCUGCAAUUUGGGGGAUCCCUGCUAGCAAGCAGUCUGUAUGGUUCACGGCAGUAUAAAUGUGGGUGGCAGAGUAUCUGUCGAAGCUCUACUCUUGGGUGCGUAGUGAAACCAGGGUUGCUUGAGAGAGACCAUCUUCAUCCUACGCUUCCCACGGAUUGA